GGAAGUAAAAGCGUAACAAGGUUUCCGUAGGUGAACCUGCGGAAGGAUCAUUAUUGGAUUUUGAAACUUCAGGCUGCUGCUGGCUCUCCUCGGAGGGCAUGUGCACGCUUGUUGUCCAUUAUUUCUCCCACUGUGCACAAAUUGUAGACCUUUCAGUAGGCCUAUGUUGUUUUUCACAAUCUCUGAAUGUAAUAGAAUGGUUUUGAAUCUUGGGAAAUACAAUACAACUUUCAGCAACGGAUCUCUUGGCUCUC
RNAcentral lists this unclassified non-coding RNA (254 nucleotides) under plant metagenome. RNAcentral describes it as "partial contains small subunit ribosomal RNA, internal transcribed spacer 1, and 5.8S ribosomal RNA". The stretch from base 1 to 53 matches the Rfam family "Eukaryotic small subunit ribosomal RNA", at positions 1778 to 1831 of the family's 1831-position model. The record is from RNAcentral.